This 1246-nucleotide long non-coding RNA is filed under the name Homo sapiens (human). RNAcentral describes it as "long intergenic non-protein coding RNA 632". Lineage: Eukaryota; Metazoa; Chordata; Mammalia; Primates; Hominidae. The record is from RNAcentral.
AUUUGCUAUGUCACUCUUAGGUUUACCCCAAAGCACAUAGACCGUUUUCACUGCUCAAGCUGCUGCCUACAAAACAGGAGAUGCCAAGCCAUGCACAGAAAUUCACCAAAAUGCACAGAUUCACCUAUCAAUAUACAUACUUGCCUCACAACUCACACAAACACCACCGAGCACUGAGACUCACCCUAAAUGUACAGACAAGCCCUUCAGGGCACAGACUUACUCUGUAACAUACUAAAUCACAUCCCCCAUACUUAGAUGUGCCUUAUGAUUCACAGUGAUGCGUGUAAACACAUAGAUUGCUUCCACAAUGCACAGAAUUGCAUCAUAACACAGACUUACUCUACAGUGCAAAACUGACAGUGCACAUAAACAUUUCCCAGUCGGCUAGACACACAACACACAUAUUACUCCUACAAUGUAAAGAUUUCCAUCACGGUGGACAGACGUGCUUUUCCAUGCUGUUGAGCUACAACUCUGGCCUACAACAACAGAAAUACAGCUUGUGUAAUAGUUACCAGCAAGGCCUCUAGACCCAUACUAACUGGGUUUGAAUCAAGGUCCCGUCCCUUGCUGAUUGUAUCACCUUGGGAGGAGAUGGAAGAUUGAGAGCAGAGUGCAAGAAUGGGAAGAGGGCUUCGUGCCCUGUGCACGUUUGCCACCUAGUGACCAAACUGAAUGGUGUGCUUCUCACCUCAGCGUGAUAGCCUGACCUUGACUCCUGAGUUCCACGAUCGCUUCACAACUGCAAGUCACCAUCAUACAAAAUUUGAGUUUCCCUAAGUCCGCGCCUUUGAGAGCUUUGGAACGAUAUGCAAGUUCAAGUCACCAUCCUGUUUCUUGCUACCUCCUGUGAGAAGACCAACAUUUGGGUUACACUUGUUUCUACUCUUGUUCUUCUGCUUGUUAUUGUUGCCUCUGCAGCCAUUGAUCACACACGUGUUGUCAUACAAAAACUGGCAGAUUUAACAGAGGAAAAAAAACCACAAAGCCAGAGAUACGACGCUGUUAUCUUGUUCUAAGAAUUUUGGGCAAAGGCAUAGGCUGAACCUGCCUGUUCUUUUGGCUGCUUUACACAUUCCCAACUGAUGUCCAUUUUGAACUCAGUUGGACAGUUAUUCUGGGGAAUAGAGAGGAAGUCCAAAUAACAUCGCUGUUGUUUCUGUCUUAAUUGCUGUUUGUGCCGGAUUCACAGCACUGGCCUCAUCAUUAUAUCUGAUAAUGAUGCACAGAAAACCUGAAUAGA